RNA transcript from Pelmatolapia mariae (spotted tilapia), 3443 nucleotides. It is a transcript of the gene named caldesmon 1a, with no coding region annotated. The transcript has 16 exons. The record is from RefSeq and is a predicted model, not a curated record. NCBI's taxonomy places the organism in Eukaryota, Metazoa, Chordata, Actinopteri, Cichliformes, Cichlidae.
GUAUUGAGUUUGGUUUUAUCAUUGAGCGUAGUGGAGGACCCGAGUGCAGACUAGGCUCCCUCCUCUCCUCUCCUCUCCACUCCUCUCACUCGACUCUAGAGCUCUACUUUGUCCCGUCGUGAUCCACAGGGCACAACCAUGGAGGAAAUGGACUUUGAGCGGCGCAGGGAGUUGAGGAGACAGAAGCGGGAAGAGAUGCGCCUGGAGGCAGAGAGGAUGGCAAGGAAUGAUGAUGAUGAAGAGGAGGCGGCCCGUGAGAGGAGGCGCAGGGCACGCCAGGAGAGGAUGAAGAGCAAGGAGAGCGAGGAGCCCAGCGGCCAGUCGGACAGCCUGGUUAUGACCAACAGCCACAGUGUCACAGAGACGGUGUCUGUGAGCAGCUCUUAUGGAGGCGGUGGAGAUGACGAGGACCAAGCCCUACUGGACCGCAUGGCCAAACGAGAGGAGAGACGGCAGAGGCGCAUGAAGGAGGCGCUGGAGAGACAGAGACAGCUGGACCCCACUGAGACGGAGGGCAACGACAGCACCGCCACGGAGAAAAACAGCGCAGAAGAGGAGAGGCCCUCCUCCUGGCGUAGGGGACGUUACCGUGACAAUGACGACGAGGCUAAGAAGAUGGAAACCUAUAGCUCGAGAAGAGAGGAGGAAAAGGAGCGAGAGGAGCUGAGGGAGGAAGAGCAGGCUGCCCCUGAAGGGGGAGAGGAAGAAGCGGAGGGGGUAGAUGAAGAGGAGGAGCAGCCAGUUGCAGUUGUGGAGGACAAACCGAGAAGGUCUUACUUGAGAGACCAGGCGUCAGCUGAAGAGCCUAAAAUUCAAAACAAGGUGAAUGAGCCCAGGGAGGAGAGGGAGGAUCAGAGGAAGCACAACGGAGGGCUGCAUGAGGAGGCGCCUCCCAAACAGCACAGGAAACCUGAGAGGACCACCAGCCGCGGCAGCGUGCGCUCCCCCGAGCCUUCUGCGGGUGAUGACCCGGACGAGGAUGCCCGCCUGGAGGCGGAGCGCAAGCUGGAGGAGCUGAAGCGGCGUCGCGAUGACGCGGAGAGCGAGGAGUUUGAGAGGAUGAGGCAGAAGCAGCAGGAGGCCGAAGCUGAGCUGGAGGAGCUGAAAAGGAAGAGGGAGGAUAGGAGAAAGGUGCUGGAGGAGGAGGAGAGGCAGAGGAAGCAGGAAGAGGCAGAAAGGAAAGCCAAAGAGGAGGAGGAGAAGAGGAAGAUGAAAGAGGAGAUCGAAAGGAGGAGAGCAGAGGCGGCUGAGAAGAGACAGAAGGUGGAUGACACUAUGGAUGGAGAGGGCAAACCGUUUAAGUGUCUCAGCCCGCGAGGAUCCUCUCUGAAGAUUGAGGAGAGAGCCGAGUUUCUAAACAAGUCAGCACAGAAAAGCACAAUGAAGGCGUCUCAUUGUCCUGUGGUGUCCAAGAUAGACAACAGGCUGGAGCAGUACACCUCAGCUGCUCAGAGAGAGAACAAGGAGUCUCGAUCCCCUCGCUCCGGAGCCGUGGAUCUGCCCAUGGUCACCGACAGCAUACGAAACAUCAAGAGCAUGUGGGAGAAAGGCAACGUGUUCAGCUCGCCUGGAAGCGGCGGGAGCACAUUCAAGGAAGCAGCUGUGAUAAAGACAGGCGUAGCGGGCCGCAUCAACGACUGGCUGAAUAAAACCCCAGAGAGCAGCAAGACACCAGGAGGAAGGCCAGCGGACCUGAAGCCUGUUGACGUCACCAACAAGAGGAGUCUAUGGGAAAACAAAGGUGCCUCUCCGGCCAAGAACUCUGAUAGCUAGUUGACCUCACCGUUAAAUCUGGAAUAAGCCUGGAGAGGUGGCAGGCAGAGGGGAGACCAAAUCAGUUGCUAAUGGUAUGGGACACUAAUGUCUUGAAGGAGCCACUAAAGCUGGGGACCACGACAAUCCAAGACUCUUCUUUGACUUUUCCUUAAGAACCAAAUACCACACCCCCAGGAGGGACCCCCAAGAGCACGCAGGGACAGGACAGACACUGUCUGAGCACCGUACCGAAAAAGCAUCAGCAUAUUGUUAUAGGCUUACCACGUAUAGUCCCUUUGCACAAUAAUUUCUGCUUUCUAAAAAAAAAAAAAAGUAUGAUAACAACAAAAUGCUGUGAAAUUUGGACAUUUAAAAUUACUAAUUACUUUAUAAAAUCCUGCCAGGAAGACAAUAAAACUAAUAGAAUUAAGAUUUAUGUCUCGUACUCCGUGCUGAGUGGAUGAGUUCAAAAGUUUCCACAUUCCAAAGAGAUGGGCGAUAUCACUUCUCUCCCUCAGAAUAUUUUCCAUCUCUCUCUUUUUUUAUUUAUAUUUAAAGCAAAAGCUUCACACAAUGCUAUAUUAUUCAACGUUCACCUGUUCAGGAUAGAAAUAUAAGCACUUCUAGAGUUUAGCUGAUUUCACUUUUAUUGUCUUACCAAUAGUGCAGCAAUGGUCUGAGUAAUAUAUGCUAGCACAUGUGAUGUUUUGACUAUGACCUAUCAUACUGUAUCAUAUAUAACAUCUGUAUACUCAUAACAAAAGGUAUUUUUUGCUUCUUCUUUUUUUUAUUCAUUCACCAACAGGCAGUUAAUUUUGAAGGUUACAGGAGUGUUGGAUAUUCAGAAGGCCAUUUUGACAUUUAUUGUCCUUUCAUGUCAUUUCUUUUUUUUAAUUUAUGUUUUAAUGUUUUGUUGUUUUUUAGUUCUUUCUAGCUUUUGAACACUUUAAAACAUCUUCAGACAUUCCUCUUAAAAGCAGUUGCACGUGGUGCCUUUGCUGCCUUAAAGUUUUAUAAUGUAGGACAUGUUUUUUUUAAUCUGCCUUUAACUUCUUUUUUGCCUCUAUGCACACUCUUAUGCUCAGCAAUACUUGACAUAUUGAGGGCAUACAAAGUAAAAUCAGGGUGCCUAAACAUAUAGCAAGGUCAUAGUAACAAGGAUAUUUACCACUAUAUAAAACUUCUGGCCUUAUGAUUGCAAUGACAGCAUUUAGGACAGCCGAGGUACAGUACUUUAAAGCCUCCUAGCAGCUCAGCAUGAUUUUGACUUGUGAUUUUUCACGUUUUCGCGCAGCACAAGCUUAUAAGAAUAUGAACUGUUUGUCAGGGCAUUAAAUUGAUCGAUGUUACUGCUCAACAAUCUGACAAUCACAUUCCAUGGCUCCUGAAAAGAGCAGGGGAGCUGGACCAAAAUAUUUUUAAGCAUGAUAAAAUGUGACUUUUUUGUAUUUUUUUUAAUGUAAUGGUUUCAUAAUGUUGUGUUUUGUUUUCUACAGCCUUGUGUCCAUUUUUUAAAUUUCCAUGUUUAACCAGACACUUGUUUCUUGUGUAGCGCUAAGCCUAUGCAGAAUACACUAUCUGUAGUCUCUCUCCAAAUGUCAUACAAGCAGGCAGUUUCCAAGCGGCGGAAUGUGUUGAACAUUGUAACCUUGACUCAACAACAGCAAUAAAUACAUUGAGGUAUUCCA